This 598-nucleotide long non-coding RNA is filed under the name Marmota monax (woodchuck). Lineage: Eukaryota; Metazoa; Chordata; Mammalia; Rodentia; Sciuridae. The record is from RNAcentral.
CACAUGUCCCCAAGGCUCUACUCCAUGAGGCCCAUGGUGUCUGCUACUUGCCAGAUACUUAAAGACACACCCCUUUCUGGGUGUGGUCGUGCACAUCUAUAAUCCCAGCUAUUCUGGAGGCUGAGGCAGGAGGAUCAGGAGUUCAAAGCCAGCCUCAGCAACGUAGUGGGGGCCCUAAAGCAACUCAGUGAGACCCUAUCUGUAAAUGAAAUUUGAAAAAGGGUUAGGGACUGGACAUGGCUCAGUGGUUAAGCACCCCUGGGUUCAAUCCCUGGUACCAAAAAAGAAAAGAAAAAAGAAAAACCCUGACGCACCCCUCCCUCCAUUCCACUUGCCUUUUCAGAGGUGAGGUCUGUUUGUUCUCCCCAUGCAGCCAUGGAGAAAGCCCAGGGAGCCCAUGUGAAUUGAGCAUAAGUAGGAAGAGUCCUUGUUCUCUAGGUGUGGCACCCAGUUGCCCCUCUGGACUGUCUCCCUUGCUUUGUAGAGAGACAGUCCUACAAAGCACAGAACCUGUUCCUAAGCCAUUCAUUUCUGUCUUCCUAGUCAUUGUCCCAGAAUGCCUGGUUCCUUUAGUAGAGUCCCAAAACUAAGAUUUGAC